AUCCUCCCCAGCCCUGACAUACAGAGUGUAUGAUGUUAUAUCCAGGGGCCCCAUUCUCCCCAGGCCUGACAUACAGAGUGUAUGAUGUCAUAUCCAGGGGCCCAUCCUCCCCAGCCCUGACAUACAGAGUGUAUGAUGUCACAUCCAGGGGUCAAUCCUCUCCAGCCCUGACAUACAGAGUGCAUGAUGUCAUAUCCUCCCCAGCCCUGACAUACAGAGUGCAUGAUGUCAUAUCCAGGGGCCCCAUCCUCCCCAGCCCUGACAUACAGAGUGUAUGAUGUCAUAUCCUCCCAAGCCCUGACAUACAGAGUGCAUGAUGUCAUAUCCAGGGCCCAUCCUGCCCAGACCUGACAUACAGAGUGCAUGAUGUCAUAUCCAGGGGCCCAUCCUCUCCAGCCCUGACAUACAGAGUGCAUGAUGUCAUAUCCUACCCAGCCCUGACAUACUGAGUGUAUGAUGUCAUAUCCUCCCCAGCCCUGACAUACAGAGUGUAUGAUGUCAUAUCCAGGGGCCCAUCCUCCCCAGCCCUGACAUACAGAGUGCAUGAUGUCAUAUCCAGGGGCCCAUUCUCCCCAGCCCUGACAUACAGAGUGCAUGAUGUCAUAUCCAGGGGCCCAUUCUCCCCAGCCCUGACAU
This is a non-coding RNA of Pelobates cultripes (western spadefoot toad), 636 nucleotides long. The record is from the annotation of a GenBank genome assembly. NCBI's taxonomy places the organism in Eukaryota, Metazoa, Chordata, Amphibia, Anura, Pelobatidae.